Molecule: ribosomal RNA, 497 nt
Filed under: uncultured bacterium
Lineage: Bacteria
Description: partial 16S ribosomal RNA
Rfam family: Bacterial small subunit ribosomal RNA
Source: RNAcentral
GACGAACGCUGGCGGCGUGCCUAAUACAUGCAAGUUGAGCGCUGAAGGUUGGUACUUGUACCGACUGGAUGAGCAGCGAACGGGUGAGUAACGCGUGGGGAAUCUGCCUUUGAGCGGGGGACAACAUUUGGAAACGAAUGCUAAUACCGCAUAAAAACUUUAAACACAAGUUUUAAGUUUGAAAGAUGCAAUUGCAUCACUCAAAGAUGAUCCCGCGUUGUAUUAGCUAGUUGGUGAGGUAAAGGCUCACCAAGGCGAUGAUACAUAGCCGACCUGAGAGGGUGAUCGGCCACAUUGGGACUGAGACACGGCCCAAACUCCUACGGGAGGCAGCAGUAGGGAAUCUUCGGCAAUGGACGAAAGUCUGACCGAGCAACGCCGCGUGAGCGAAGAAGGUUUUCGGAUCGUAAAACUCUGUUGGUAGAGAAGAACGUUGGUGAGAGUGGAAAGCUCAUCAAGUGACGGUAACUACCCAGAAAGGGACGGCUAACUACGUG